This 590-nucleotide ribosomal RNA is filed under the name Brettanomyces bruxellensis. RNAcentral describes it as "partial large subunit ribosomal RNA". It matches the Rfam family "Eukaryotic large subunit ribosomal RNA", at positions 50 to 651 of the family's 3401-position model. The record is from RNAcentral. Lineage: Eukaryota; Fungi; Ascomycota; Pichiomycetes; Pichiales; Pichiaceae.
UGCGAGGAAAAGAAACCAACAGGGAUUGCCCCAGUAAUGGCGAAUGAAGCGGCAAGAGCCCAAAUUUGAAAUCGGGCAACCGAGUUGUAAUUUGGAGACGGGACACUAGAGAGGAGGAAGGCGAUUAAGUGCCUUGGAACAGGCUGCCGUAGAGGGUGAGAGCCCCGUGAAUCGCUGGAGACCGAUCAAUUAGUGCCCGCCGAAGAGUCGAGUUGUUUGGGAAUGCAGCUCUAAGUGGGUGGUAUAUUCCAUCUAAGGCUAAAUAUUAGCGAGAGACCGAUAGCAAACAAGUACAGUGAUGGAAAGAUGAAAAGAACUUUGGAAAGAGAGUGAAAUAGUACGUGAAAUUGUUGAAAGGGAAGGGUAUUUGAUCCGACAUGGUGUUUAGCAGCGGCCCGUUCCUCGUGGAUGGGUGCACCUGGUUUACACUGGGCCAGCAUCGGUUCUGGGAGCCAUAUACGGGGUUCGUGAAUGUGGCCCUUCGAUUCUGUCGGAGGGUGUUAUAGCGCGGACAUCUUGUGGCUAGCCGGGACCGGGGACUGCGGUGACUUGUCACCAAGGAUGCUGGCAGAACGAGCAAAUACCACCCG